This 463-nucleotide ribosomal RNA is filed under the name uncultured bacterium. RNAcentral describes it as "partial 16S ribosomal RNA". It matches the Rfam family "Bacterial small subunit ribosomal RNA", at positions 28 to 507 of the family's 1533-position model. The record is from RNAcentral.
GAUGAACGCUGACAGAAUGCUUAACACAUGCAAGUCGAUGGGGAAGUGGUGCUUGCACCAUGGCAACCAUGGCGGACGGGUGAGUAACGCGUAAGGGACUUACCUGCAGGACUGGGAUAACAGGGGGAAACUCCUGACAAGACCGGAUAAUGUCAUGGAGCUGCAUGGCUUUAUGAUGAAAGGAGACGCCUGCGGAGAGCCUUGCGUCCUAUUAGCUAGUUGGUGAGGUAAUGGCUCACCAAGGCGAAGAUAGGUAGCCGGCCUGAGAGGGUGGACGGCCACAAGGGGACUGAGAUACGGCCCUUACUCCUACGGGAGGCAGCAGUGGGGAAUAUUGGACUAUGGGGGCAACCCUGAUCCAGCAAUUCUGUGUGCACGAAGAAGGUUUUCGGAUUGUAAAGUGCUUUCAGCAGGGAAGAAGUAAGUGACGGUACCUGCAGAAGAAGCGACGGCUAAAUACGUG